Molecule: unclassified non-coding RNA, 376 nt
Filed under: soil metagenome
Description: partial contains 5.8S ribosomal RNA, internal transcribed spacer 2, and large subunit ribosomal RNA
Rfam family: 5.8S ribosomal RNA (bases 1-120)
Source: RNAcentral
GAUGAAGAACGCAGCGAAAUGCGAUAAGUAAUGUGAAUUGCAGAAUUCAGUGAAUCAUCGAAUCUUUGAACGCAUCUUGCGCUCCUUGGUAUUCUGAGGAGCAUGCCUGUUUGAGUGUCAUUAAAUUCUCAACUACACUGACUUUGAAUUGGUGUGGCUUGGAUUUGGGGGGAAAAUUGUUGUGGGCUUUUUGUAUAGUCUGCUCCCCUGAAAUUGAUUAGCGGUACCUUUGUGGAACUGUCUACAGGUGUGAUAAUUAUCUACAUCUUAGACAUCUGCUGGAAUGCUGCUUUCUAAACCUUACUUGUAUUGACAAUCUUGACCUCAAAUCAGGUAGGACUACCCGCUGAACUUAAGCAUAUCAAUAGGCGGAGGA